RNAcentral lists this ribosomal RNA (483 nucleotides) under uncultured bacterium. Its description in RNAcentral is "partial 16S ribosomal RNA". It matches the Rfam family "Bacterial small subunit ribosomal RNA", at positions 28 to 507 of the family's 1533-position model. The record is from RNAcentral.
GACGAACGCUGGCGGCGUGCUUAACACAUGCAAGUCGAACGAUGAAGCGGGUGCUUGCCCUCGUGGAUUAGUGGCGAACGGGCGAGUAACACGUGAGUAACCUGUCCUUUUCUUUGGGAUAACGGCUGGAAACGGCUGCUAAUACUGGAUAUUCAGGCUGCAUCGCAUGGUGUGGUUUGGAAAGGUUUUUUCUGGGAUUGGGUGGGCUCGCGGCCGAUCAGCUUGUUGGUGGGGUGAUGGCUUACCAAGGCUUUGACGGGUAGCCGGCCUGAGAGGGUGGGCGGUCGCACUGGGACUGAGAUACGGCCCAGACUCCUACGGGAGGCAGCAGUGGGGAAUAUUGCACAAUGGACGAAAGUUUGAUGCAGCGACGCCGCGUGGAGGGUGUAGGCCUUCGGGUUGUGAACUCCUUUUUCUCGCGAAAAAGGCACAGUUUUGGCUGUGUUGAUGGUAGUGGGGGAAGAAGCGCCGGCUAACUACGUG